Long non-coding RNA from Callithrix jacchus (white-tufted-ear marmoset), 2271 nucleotides. RefSeq lists it as uncharacterized. The record is from RefSeq and is a predicted model, not a curated record. Lineage: Eukaryota; Metazoa; Chordata; Mammalia; Primates; Cebidae.
UCCUAGAAAAAACACAAACUGUAAUUAUUUGUUCUCUUGAGUAUAAUCUGACUCCUCCAUUAGAAUAAACCCUCUGAGGCAGCAACGUGGUCUCAGUGUUUCUGCCCCAGUGCUUGAAACAAACAUGGUGUGAGGGAGAAGCGCAGUAAAUAGUUCUUCCCGGCAAGCUUUGGGGUGCAAAUAGUCACAUUUUUCCCUCCACACGUGGGGUCUUUCCCUCUCUCUCUAGUUGAUCCUUGUUAUUUAUGGAUUUCUUAUUUGUAAAUCGACCUACUCUCCAUUUAUUUAUAACCCUCAAAUCAAUACUUUCGAGUAUGCGGAGAAGUGCAAAGUGUGUACCUUCAGUGCACAGGCUCAGCCGAAGGAGUUGGCGCUCUGCCUUCUGGGUUCAGCUCACCCUGCAAGCGUUUUUUCAGUUUAUUUAGUGCCACUUUUUUUUCACAUUUUUUUCUGCUUUUUGUUGGCGAUUUCACUGUUUAAAAUGGCCUCAAGCACAGUGUGGCAGUGCUGCUCAGUGUUCCUAAGAGCAAGAAGGCUGCGAGGUGCCUUUCGGAGGAGAAAACGCACUGGACGAGUGUUACUUACUCUAUGGUACGUGCUAAACAAGAUGGCGCCCUAACCCUAAGGGCGGUUUUAAGUGUGUGUGUGAGGAAGUCUGCCAGGAUUGCCUUUAUGACUCCUGCGUUUGUUUCUUCUGUAUUUUAUUAACACAGGUUAAAGGCUUUCUUCAAUCUCUACUAAAACAAUAUAUACGUCUCUGUUUUCACUAGCUUUUAAAAAGUGAGUCUUUUAAUUCAUCUGGGAUAUUUUCUGGUGCGGCAUAGCAUAGGAAACCACUGAAUUUAAGCAAUAGUCAGGAACAUAUAAAACAAAGUUAUGUAUUCAUGGUUUGAUGAAAAAGCUGUGUCUUGGGGCUCACGGGAACCUAACCCUGUCUUUCCUGCGUGAGUGAUGGUUCACUAUUCACCAAUUCAAUGUUUGUGGUGGAAAAAAAAUGACAUUCUAAGCCCCUGAGCUGACUAAAUGGACUCCUUCUUAGCCAAGGGAGCCCAGAGAAAUUUUAAAAACUGAGUUCCUGGCCCUGAUGGGAUGGGGAGGUUGGACACACACUUGCUAAUCGCCAUUAGACUUUCUUACCCGAGGGUUAAACAGAAGCCAAAGCCCUUUCAAAAGUCUUGCCAGACUUCCCUUCUGCGGUUUUGACACAAUGAUGAAUCAGCGUUCCUUCCUGAUAAGAGCCCACAGUCAGACUGACUGUGGACUGACUCUGGCCGGUGUUCAGUGGCUGCACACAGAUGCCUGUGUCCUCAGCUCAUCUUCGGACAUAUAAAGCCGAAUUUUAGUGCAUUUAAAUGUUAAGUGCUCACCCCAAACUGAAUGUGGACAUUCAUGCAUAUUUGCUUUCUAUGAAUAGUCAUAGUUCCACCUAUAACCUGUUAGAUAUGUAUACUUCGCCAUCCCACGUGGCAUAAAUUCCUGUUCCGUCCUUUCCUCCCUCAAAGUGCCGGCUUUUGGUUUCUGCUUCCCAGCCUGCAAGAUAGCCAGCCUGCAGGCUGCAACCCUUUGUGAGAAAUAAAGCUCUCCUCUCCAGAUGUACGAAUCUUGUGAUUCUUCAGCUGACUUCACAAAACACAACUACGUAGGUGACAGAAAACCCCAGAGAGAAAUGGCUUGAACAAUGAAAGGACUGCAGGCGAGACUUGGUCUAGCCCCGGAAUCCAGUUUUCCUUCGUUUAUCUGGUUUGCCUUGUGUAUUAUUAGCCUCUUGUCUGACACCAUUGGUUCUAGUUGGGCUGCAAGCCCGUCCUUGAAGUCAUUGCUCUUAUCAGGAAGAUGGGAAAUGCUGACUGAUUUAAGCAGCAUCAUCUUUCUCCAGUUAUGUGCAGAGGACACAGUAGUCCCUGAGAGGCCACCUGGGGCACUGCUGUCGGAAGAUAGAACCGAUUCUGCCUGUUGCCUUACCUGCCAUUCCCUCAGCCCCUCCAGCCUCCUUUCCACCACUCCUCUUUAGUUCCUCCAACCCAGUCAAAAUUCUAUUCACCCUUUUGGGUCUCUCCCAAAUGCCUGUGUGCCUGAGACAUAGUGUGCACCCAAUAAAUUUGUGUUGAGUGAAUGAAAUUCCCUCUUCGAGAAGCCUUUCCUGACAGUACUGAUAAAGCAACUCCUGCCUUCUCCCGACUCCCACCGGUGGUUUUUGUCUUGCUUAUGGCAUUUAGUGUCUCUUUGCUGUUACAUGCUCCUGAUCUCUUCAUUAAACUAUCCAAUACUUCA